GCCCAUUACAAAACGACACACAAUUAGGGAGUACAAACUUCCACCUCUUCAUUCUACAAUCUACAGCUGUCUUUUUCUCACUGCUGGUUUGCAUUUCAUUCAUUGGCGUUACCUAGACGCUCUUACAACUUACCUACCUAAUCUGUCAAAACUAGAAAGAAACAAGACACAUCCAAUUCUUUGUCCAAUCUAUUGAGAAAUCACAGAACAAUAACAGUUCUGCUUUAAGCAAUGACUACUAUCAACAGCCAGAUAUAUCCAUUUUGAACCACUCUCCAAGCCACGUCAUUUUGCAUCCUCAGUACCAUCUGCACCGCUGUGACCAGCAGCUGCAUUCCCUUGGCCAUCAGCACCUGAUGCCCCAGCCUCCGAGGCAUCCUGUUUGCUUCCCCCACGAACAUCAUUAGAGCCUGCAGUUGCAGAUGGGCCAUUGCUUCCAAGAGUUGCCUCAGUAUGCAUGGGGUGCAUGCCAUUGUUGGCCCCCAUGGGUCUCAUUCCCAUUUGCCCUUGAAUGGCUGCUUGGUGCAACUGCUGAGGAUCCUGCAUUUGAUGAGGGUUAUUGAAUUGUAAUGGCAUCUUUUGGGGGAAAAUGCCCGACUGCUGAGCCAUUGCUGCUGCCUGAGGAUGUUGCAUGUAAUAUGCUCCUUGCUGCAUUGCAGGCUGUGGGGCCAUCUGGGGAGGCAUUGUUGGUGCCUGUGGUUGUGCAUCAGCAAUUGCAGCUAAAUACAUUAAAUUCUUUUGCAGCUGGGCUUGAUACUGGGCACAUUCAGCAAGUUUUCCCAGGUUUUGAUUGUCCAAUAUCGCCAUGAUCAAUUUUUUAUUUUCAUCAAGGUACUU
RNAcentral lists this unclassified non-coding RNA (837 nucleotides) under Hevea brasiliensis (rubber tree). Lineage: Eukaryota; Viridiplantae; Streptophyta; Magnoliopsida; Malpighiales; Euphorbiaceae. The record is from RNAcentral.